CUUUACUGCAACUUGACGUUGGAACUUGGCUGUAUUUGUGUAGGAUAGGUGGGAGACUUUGAAGCAGGGCCGCCAGGUCUUGCGGAGUCGUCGUUGAAAUACCACCCUGGUGCUGACGAGUUUCUAACCGUGUCCGUAAGCCGGACAUGAGACAGCGUCUGGUGGGCAGUUUGACUGGGGCGGUCGCCUCCUAAAAGGUAACGGAGGCAUUCAAAGGUCCCCUCAGCGUGGUCGGUAAUCACGCGCAGAGUGCAAACGCAUAAGGGGGCUUAACUGCGAGACCGACAGGUCGAGCAGGUACGAAAGUAGGAGUUAGUGAUCCCGCGGUUUAGCGUGGAAUUGCCGUUGCUCAAUGGGUAAAAGGUA
This 366-nucleotide ribosomal RNA is filed under the name uncultured organism. RNAcentral's name for it is "bacterial LSU rRNA". It matches the Rfam family "Bacterial large subunit ribosomal RNA", at positions 2099 to 2465 of the family's 2925-position model. The record is from RNAcentral.